GUAUCGUCGUUUGACGAAAGUUACUUACGGAAGGGUGUCAAUUAACUCGUUCUGUCGAUAGACGUCGUAUUAUAUUAAAACCGAUCGAAAUUUAAACAGAAGAAUGUGUACGGAAAGGAUUCAUGCCCACUGACCCAAAGGAAAUUAAAUAUUUAGAGAGUUAGAAAUGAGGUUCCACCUAGAAUUCACGCAGGAAAAAAGGUGAUAAGGUACGAAGUGAAAUACCUUCUCUCACUUUCAGUGACUACUGUGGAAAGUAAACUUGGAAUUGAUAGUACAAAAAUAAAAUACAAUAAGUACAUUGUUCAUACACUUGUAUCGAGGAUUGGCUAUGUUUAAAGUUGAAUAACUAUUCAGAUUACGUAAAUAACAUUUUACGAGCAUUUUACAAGUGCAGUUGAAUUAUUUUUGAAAAUUAUUCUAAUACAUGUAUCAAUGAAAACAAUGGCAAUCGUAUCCCUCAGAGCAAUCUGCUCUUUGAUUAUAUGGUG
This 491-nucleotide long non-coding RNA is filed under the name Mytilus galloprovincialis (Mediterranean mussel). The record is from RNAcentral. Lineage: Eukaryota; Metazoa; Mollusca; Bivalvia; Mytilida; Mytilidae.